Molecule: ribosomal RNA, 1668 nt
Filed under: Stentor sp.
Lineage: Eukaryota; Ciliophora; Heterotrichea; Heterotrichida; Stentoridae
Description: partial large subunit ribosomal RNA
Rfam family: Eukaryotic large subunit ribosomal RNA
Source: RNAcentral
AUUACUAAGCGGAGGAAAAGAAACUAACAAGGAUUACCUUAGUAGCUGCGAGUGAACCGGUAAAAGCCCAGUCUGGUAAUCGCUUCGGCGAAUUGUACAGUUUAGACAUAAGUCUUAAGUGGAUCGCAGGCGUAACUUGGCUGGAAUGCCAGACCGGAGAAGGUGAUAGUCCUGUACCGCCUGUGUGAAGCGGAAGACUGUGUUCCACGAGUCGGACAGUUUGGGAUUGCUGUCCUAAGUGGGAGGUAGACUUCUUCUAAGGCUAAAUACUGACGAGAGACCGAUAGCGAACAAGUACUAUGAAGGAAAGAUGAAAAGAACUUUGAAAAAAGGGUUAAAAUACUUGAAAUCGCUGUGGAGGAAGCUAUGAGCUCGGCUUUGCUGUGAGUGGAACUGCUGGUACGCCGGCAGGGGAGCUUGCAGGAAAACUCAGCUAGCGUUCUGAUUGUGAGCUCCGAAGCUGUUAGCUAGGUCGGCCGCAAUUUGAGGCGCUUUCUGAGUAGCUGGGCCCAUUGACCCGUCUUGAAACACGGACCAAGGAGUCUAACAUGUGUGCGAGUAGUCGGGUUGAAACCUUACUGCGCAACGAAAGUGAGCCUUGCGAUAUUUGCAGCAAGGGCCGCAUUAGCGAGCUCAGCACUUAUGUUGGGACCCGAAAGAUGGUGAACUAUGCUUGGGAAAGGCGAAGCCAGGGGAAACCUUGGUGGAGGCUUGUAGAGAUACUGACGUGCAAAUCGUUCUUCUAACCUGAGUAUAGGGGCGAAAGACUAAUCGAACCAUCUAGUAGCUGGUUCCCUUCGAAAUUUCCCUCAGGAUAGCUGGAACAAUCACAGUUUUAUCGGGUAAAGCGAAUGAUUAGAGGUUCGGGAGUUGUAACAACUUUCACCUAUUCUCAAACUUUAAAUUGGUAAGAACGGGGAGUUUCUUAAUUGAACUCUUCGAUGAAUGUGUGUUCCAAGUGGGCCAUUUUUGGUAAGCAGAACUGGCGACGAGGGUUCAACCUAAGGCAGAGUUGAGGCGACCAAUUGGCAGCUCAUCAGAUGAAAAGGUGUUAGUUCAUUUAGACAGUAGGACGGUGGCCAUGGAAGUCGGAACCCGCUAAGGAGUGUGUAACAACUCACCUACCGAAUGAACUAGCCCUGAAAAUGGAUGUCGCUAAGCAGCCAGCCGAUACUCUGCUGUUCUGCUUUACGCUAGCAGAACAGGUAGAAGGGCGUGAAGGCCGCGCAGAAGGCUUUGUGUAGACAAGGCUGGAGCGACCUUUAGUGCAGAUCUUGGUGGUAGUAGCAACUAUUCAAAUGAGAACUUUGAAGACUGAAGUGGAGAAGGGUUUCAUGAGAACAGCACUUGGUCAUGAGUGACUCGGUCCUAAGGUCAAGGGUAAUCCUGCGACGGCGUAGCCCAGACCGAAAGGGAAUGUGGUUAAAAUUCCACAAGCAGGCGGUGGAUAUUGCGUGGCAACACAACUGAACUCAAAGACGUCGAGGCGAGGUCCCAGGAAGAGUUCUCUUUUCUUCUUAACAAGUUGCUGCCUUGGAGAUCUUUGCGAUGAGAUAAGGCUACAGACUUGGAAGAGCAGCACACCCUUUGUGCUGUCUGGUGCACCUUCUUCGGCCCUUGAAAAUUUGAGGGAAACUUUAUUGCUCGCCUGGCCGUACCCAUAACCGC